This 193-nucleotide unclassified non-coding RNA is filed under the name air metagenome. Its description in RNAcentral is "partial contains small subunit ribosomal RNA, internal transcribed spacer 1, and 5.8S ribosomal RNA". The stretch from base 1 to 46 matches the Rfam family "Eukaryotic small subunit ribosomal RNA", at positions 1786 to 1831 of the family's 1831-position model. The record is from RNAcentral.
AAGUCGUAACAAGGUUUCCGUAGGUGAACCUGCGGAAGGAUCAUUAACGAACUCGUCCGUUCUUCCACACCGUGAACCCUCGGGGUCGCCGUUCGCGCGGCGACCGCGUUUUUUUCACACGCUCAGCAUGUCAGGAAUGUCAUCGUUUUCUUUAAACAAGAAACAACUUUCGACAACGGAUCUCUUGGCUCUC